AGUGAACGCUGGCGGUAGGCCUAACACAUGCAAGUCGAACGGCAGCACAGGAGAGCUUGCUCUCUGGGUGGCGAGUGGCGGACGGGUGAGGAAUACAUCGGAAUCUACUCUGUCGUGGGGGAUAACGCAGGGAAACUUACGCUAAUACCGCAUACGACCUACGGGUGAAAGCAGGGGACCUUCGGGCCUUGCGCGAUUGAAUGAGCCGGUGUCGGAUUAGCUAGUUGGCGGGGUAAAGGCCCACCAAGGCGACGAUCCGUAGCUGGUCUGAGAGGAUGAUCAGCCGCACUGGAACUGAGACACGGUCCAGACUCCUACGGGAGGCAGCAGUGGGGAAUAUUGGACAAUGGGCGCAAGCCUGAUCCAGCCAUACCGCGUGGGUGAAGAAGGCCUUCGGGUUGUAAAACCCUUUUGUUGGGAAAGAAAUCCAGCUGGCUAAUACCCGGUUGGGAUGACGGUACCCAAAGAAUAAGCACCGGCUAACUUCGUGCCAGCCGCCGCAGUAA
This 506-nucleotide ribosomal RNA is filed under the name uncultured bacterium. RNAcentral describes it as "partial 16S ribosomal RNA". It matches the Rfam family "Bacterial small subunit ribosomal RNA", at positions 29 to 523 of the family's 1533-position model. The record is from RNAcentral.